GAGUUUGAUCAUGGCUCAGAUUGAACGCUGGCGGCAGGCCUAACACAUGCAAGUCGAGCGGAAACGAUGGAGUGCUUGCACUCCAGGCGUCGAGCGGCGGACGGGUGAGUAACGCGUGGGAAUUUGCCCUUUGGCGGGGGAUAGCCCGGGGAAACUCGGAUUAAUACCGCAUAAGCCCUACGGGGGAAAGGUGGCCUCUACUUGUAAGCUAUCGCCGAAGGAUGAGCCCGCGUCAGAUUAGCUUGUUGGUGGGGUAAUGGCCUACCAAGGCGACGAUCUGUAGCUGGUCUGAGAGGAUGAUCAGCCACACCGGAACUGAGACACGGUCCGGACUCCUACGGGAGGCAGCAGUGGGGAAUCUUGGACAAUGGGGGCAACCCUGAUCCAGCCAUGCCGCGUGUGUGAAGAAGGCCUUCGGGUUGUAAAGCACUUUCAGCGAGGAGGAAAAGCAGCGGUUAAUACCUGUCUGUUUUGACGUUACUCGCAGAAGAAGCACCGGCUAAUUUCGUGCCAGCAGCCGCGGUA
RNAcentral lists this ribosomal RNA (525 nucleotides) under uncultured Gammaproteobacteria bacterium. RNAcentral's name for it is "bacterial SSU rRNA". It matches the Rfam family "Bacterial small subunit ribosomal RNA", at positions 9 to 522 of the family's 1533-position model. Lineage: Bacteria; Pseudomonadati; Pseudomonadota; Gammaproteobacteria. The record is from RNAcentral.